Molecule: long non-coding RNA, 1840 nt
Filed under: Homo sapiens (human)
Lineage: Eukaryota; Metazoa; Chordata; Mammalia; Primates; Hominidae
Description: HSALNT0183474
Source: RNAcentral
UCAUCUGAAUAAAUAGAGUCAGCUGUUGCCAGAGGGUGACAUCUCCCCAGGGUGAGUUCCCCUAGACCAGGCAACCCCGUGUUGGGCUUAGAUGGGCACUUGAACACAGGCCAGCGAUAUCUGGGUGACGCUGGAGAGGGCUGCCAAGUGGAUGCUUCGUGGCUUUGGAAUGCCCCAGUGGGAGGUAAGGGGGCAGGGGUUAGAAGGAUUGGAUCAGGAAGGAACACCAUAGGUCAGCACACACUGGUCCUUCCACAUCAGCAAGGGACGGGGAGGGGACAGUGGGCCCCAGCCACCACAGAACCCACUUCACAAGUUAUGUCUCUGACCCCUUAGGCAUGGGGCCCAUGGGUGGAGUCUCUGACUCUUGCAUCUGGAUCUGAGAAGAGGCCCAUGCAGUGAGCUGGUGCCCAGGCUGCUUCCUGACAUCCGGAGAACAUGGCCAAGCUGCUUUGGGAAGGUCACUCCACCCUAUGAAACAAAUGAAUGUGGCCAUUAAUGCUGCUCAGCCUUCCUCUUCCAGAAAACAAUGGAACUCGACUGAAUCACUGACUCCCUUUCAGGCAUCUCCUUUUGGCUGUCUGACCCAGCCCCCUAAUUGAGACUCAAGCUGUUGUCCCUGGCUCAGCAAUCGGCACCCAUGCCAGUCCAGAGAAUGGAUCUGGUCCCAUAGCCUGUGGCUAUCUAUGGUGCUCUGAGCUAACCCUUUGAUGAAGAAACCAGAAAACCAAGAUUUCAUGCUCUGGUAGGGCAACAUCUCAUGGCAUAGGACAGACAGUGCUACCUUUUAGAUACCCCAGGUUCCCACAUUAAUACCCGACACCCUGUGGGAACAGGGUAGUCCUGAAUUGAGAUUUAAAGCCCAAGUAGAAAUCUUCAUUUUGGCCUCCCAAGACAAGGCCUCUAAGUAUUUUGAUCAGAGUUAUCAGUGCUGACAGGCAAGUGAUGCUUCUACUCCUAUCCAACUACUGCUCCUUAAGUGGGUCCUGCCUCGGGAAUCUUAGAAGGCUUGGUGGGAAUGUGAUUAGUGAGGCAGGCCUUGGGCAUUUCUGGGUCCCUCCCUUCCUGUGACCCCCAUCAACAUGUCAUCACAGACUUACCUAGCACCCAGGAUGACAUUGUAGAGAAAAUAUGGUUUUUAAUGACUAAGCCAAAAAGUAAUUCAGAAAAGUGGGACUCCAAAUGUGAGAAAGUUUUAGGAAUACUUUAUUCAAUCUAUUUUACUCAAAGUUUCCUUUCUUAGGCAUGUACAAUUUUUUAAAAACUUAUGUGUAAGUAAGUCUAGAAGGGCAUUUUAAAGACCUUUUUUAAAGAAAACUGUUGAGCAGUGAGAGGAAAAGACCUUAAUUCAUAGUUGUUAUGGUCUGAAUGUUUUUGUACCCCCCAAAAUUUAUAUGUUGAAACUUAAUCCCCAAUGGGAUAGUAUUAGAAUGUAGAGCCUUUGGGAGGUGAUUAGGUUUUGAGGGUGAUGCCCUCAUUAAUGGGAUUAGUGCUUUAUAAAAGAGACCCCAAAGUGCUGCUUCCAUCAUCUGAGGACAUAGCUAGAGGGCUCCAUAUAUGAGCCAGGGAGCCAGAGAGAAGGCACUGACUGUGAAGCAGAAAGCAAAUCUCCACCACACACCCAACCCGCUGGCACCUGAGCUUGGACUUCCCACCCUCUAGAACUGUAAGAAAUAAAUGUCUUUGUUCAUAAGUCAUCCAGUCUAAGGCAUUUUGUUAUAGCAGCCUGAAUGGACUAAGACAAUAUCUUAGCUUAAAAUCACGCAGCCAGGCAAUGACAGAACCAAGACAGGAAUCAAGGACCCAUCCCCGGUGCCGGGAUCAUUUUGCUGUGGCUCCA